RNAcentral lists this ribosomal RNA (275 nucleotides) under uncultured bacterium. RNAcentral describes it as "partial 16S ribosomal RNA". It matches the Rfam family "Bacterial small subunit ribosomal RNA", at positions 28 to 334 of the family's 1533-position model. The record is from RNAcentral.
GGUGAACGCUGGCGGCGUGCCUAAGACAUGCAAGUCGAGUGGGUUUAGACCCACGGCGAACGGGUGAGUAAUACCUAGGAACUUUCUUUAAGUGGAGCAUAACCAGUCGAAAGAUUGGAUAAUACUUCAUGUGUCCGUAAGGAUAAAGUCGCAAGACGCUUAAAGUGAGGCCUGGGCACCAUCAGCUAGUUGGUAAGGUAAUGGCUUACCAAGGCUAUGACGGUUAGGGGUCCCGAGAGGGAUAACCCCCACACUGGAACUGCGACACGGUCCAG